UGAUCCACCUGUUCUCUCAAA
This is a non-coding RNA of Caenorhabditis elegans, 21 nucleotides long. The record is from Ensembl. Lineage: Eukaryota; Metazoa; Nematoda; Chromadorea; Rhabditida; Rhabditidae.